UAAUGCAGGUGCAGUAACUC
This 20-nucleotide non-coding RNA is filed under the name Mus musculus (house mouse). The record is from RNAcentral. Lineage: Eukaryota; Metazoa; Chordata; Mammalia; Rodentia; Muridae.